RNAcentral lists this ribosomal RNA (244 nucleotides) under uncultured bacterium. Its description in RNAcentral is "partial 16S ribosomal RNA". It matches the Rfam family "Bacterial small subunit ribosomal RNA", at positions 524 to 763 of the family's 1533-position model. The record is from RNAcentral.
UACGAAGGGGGCUAGCGUUGUUCGGAAUUACUGGGCGUAAAGCGCGCGCAGGCGGUCUUCCAAGUCAGUGGUGAAAGCCCGGAGCUCAACUCCGGAACUGCCAUUGAAACUGUGAGACUUGAGGAUGAGAGAGGUGAGUGGAAUUCCCAGUGUAGAGGUGAAAUUCGUAGAUAUUGGGAAGAACACCGGUGGCGAAGGCGGGCUCACUGGCUCGAUUUUCUGACGCUCAGGCGCGGACAGCGUG